This 563-nucleotide long non-coding RNA is filed under the name Equus caballus (horse). Its description in RNAcentral is "lncRNA (ENSECAG00000038984.3)". The record is from RNAcentral. Lineage: Eukaryota; Metazoa; Chordata; Mammalia; Perissodactyla; Equidae.
GAACAAACACAUCUUCAUUUGCAUCCAGCAAGAUGUAACCUUAGCAACAGUGUGUAUUUUUGGACUUCUUUUCAUUUAAUGCAAAUGAGGCACCACCGAUAGACCCGGAAUCUGACGACAGAAUUCAACGUGACCAAUUCAUGUGUCUGAGGCCAUGUCUCUUGCCAGCCCAGCAAGAUUCUGAUUUCCUGUCAUCAGCAUGAAUCGAAGUCAUGCUGGCCCAGAGGACUUCGGAGCCUCCUUCGGAGGCUUGGAGCAAGACUGAUCGGAAAGUGCUAUUUGGCAACAGAAUCCCAGAACCUCCAACUGCCAUAUCACUUGGGAGCUGUGAAGAACUUGAUGGUUCAUUAUUGCCAAUUCCUACCUGGAAGCCCACAUUCUUCUCCUGUGAGCCUUUGCCCAAGCCUGGUGGCACCAGUAUGAACUAGCAGACAUCGUGGCUUAGAAGAAAUCCAAACACCAACAAGAUGUUCCUGUGCACUUUUUGCAGACACACCCACAUGUCGUGGGUGAUUCUUAUCUGCUCAGUUGUGUCUGGCUCCCACUGGCAUAGUCUUCCUUCA